UACGCUAAACCCACUGAGCCACCCAGGCGCCCCAAGAGUUGGACGCUUAAUUGCUUAACUGACUGAGCCACCCAGACGCCCCUGGCUUAUAGAACUUUUAUCAUGUCAUUUUACAAAUGAGGAAACAGAUUUAGAGAGAUUAAUGAAUUUACCCAAGGCUGGAUGAUGGCACCGGCAUUCACCUGUACUGACCACACCAUUUGUCACCAGUUUGGGUCGCCAUAUAUACAGAUGCAUUCUCUUUAGGCUUCAUCAAAGGAUUUGUCAAGGCACAGGAAUAUUAGUUACAACAUUUGGGUGUGUUCCGUUUCACCUCCCACCGCUCCCGAGGAGUGUAGUUCGGGGUUUCCACUGUUUCUGAGAUUAAGCUUCCCUUUGGGUAAGAAAACACUGGAGCCCCCAAGGUGAGCCCUAAGUGCAACCAGCAACCAAGGCUGACGCUUCAUCAGAAGGCAUAGCGCCCAGGGCCCAUGAUACUUAUAGGGGUCCGCGGAAGUGGUGCCAUUUCUUUUAAGAUCAGAAGGAAAAAAAAUAAACUUCCGGGUCAAAAAAAUGCUUUUUUAAAUACGUAAUACUAAUAUAUUUGUCUUUAUAUCAGUGCAAUCAUAGAAGGCCGAUUUUCUUUCUUGAUUGAUUGAUUGAUUGAAGAAGCCCAUGAAAGCAACAUGCCAGGGCCCAUGAAAGUCCCCAUAGGGCCGUGCCAGCACAGGGAGGGCACUGGGCCUCUUCGCUGGCACUUUUGUUCUCAGCCAUCUCCCCAGCAUGGAAGGGAGAGAAGGCUCUGGAGUCAGACCCUCUGACUGGAGCCCUUCAAUCAGGCCAUUUGCUGAUCUCUUCAGACCCUCCCCUUCCUCACUAGCGACGUAGAACUCCUGUCAGUGUGAGGACGCAGUACAACAUGGCUGACCCGGAAUAAGGGCUCAGGGGGUGUGAGCUCUCCUCUCCACCUGUCCUGCUUCCCCAGUCGCAGAGGUGGCCAGAAGCCGCGUCUGAAAUGCAGAAUCCACGGAAAAGUAGCAUGGAAAAGGAAGAGGGACGAAUAACCCAAUGACAGGGUUACAUGCACCCAAAUAAAAAGUGCAUUUUAUUUUCAGACAACAUUGAACGCAUGCCCAUGAAUUUUUGCCUAUAACAUUCUGAAGUCUACGUGCGGUCGUGGUUUAGGAUUGAGUAAACGGGUCUAGAAGCAGACUGCCUGGCUUGGAACUUGGUUCAAUCGCUUACCAGCUAUGGAAUCUUGGGAACAUUUUUCACAGAACCAGAACAAAUAACGCUAGAGUUUGGAUGGAACCACGAAAGACCCUGGAUAGGCAAGACAGUCUUGAAAAACAAGAGCAAAGUUGGAAGGAGCAAAACCCCAGAUUUCAAGAAUCAGCCUGCGUACCUGGAACAUUUUCUGACUACUGCAGAGAGAAGUCUGGAUUUAAGGAAAGAACCAGGCACGCUGGGUUUUUUGCGGGAAGGGAACCUUCUUUCUCCAUCGACGCCGGGGCCGGGUGAGGCAGGAGAAAGACGCAGGGGGAUCUGCCUCUCUCCCUUCACAGCCCCCAGAGCAAACCCCGGAUGGGGGGGGUAGGCUUUGGGGGCCUGGGAAGUGCAGCUCAGGCUCUCCCUGGACCUUCCCUGCUCCUAAACAAUUUGGUCCGGAGCCUGCCGAUCAGCGACUGUUGUGUGAUUUUUCUUUUCCACAAAACAAUUACAAGUGCAGGAGACAGUGUGAAUACCGGCUUUGUUUGGAUACGGUAUAUUUCAGUGAAAAUCACAGUAUUUCCUCUUAUAUUUGCUCCUUUCGUCCCCUCAGCUCCAGAGCGGCCACCGCCUGAGUUUCAGGCAUUCCAGAACGGCCGAGCGCUUGUGGGCGCCCAGCGUGAGAACCUAAGAAACAGCUCCGUGAGCUCACAGCUCUUUGCUGUGCUGCAGGGGCCUUUCCUGAGGUUUAGAUUUAAAAUUCCACUUUUUAACAGAACAACACAGCUUUUGAGCAGAAAGAGGAUUUUAGAGAUCAUCAAAUAAAACGCCCAUUUCGUAGACGUGGAAACAGAGAUCCAGAAGGAUUAGAUUACUUGUUCAAGGUCACAUGCUGCAUGACUCCCAGAGCAGGACUUGAAAACUGGAUCCCCAAACGCCUACCCUAGUGGUUUUCAUUUGGAGACGUUCAAAUAACGACACUCAGGUUGUUGCCUCUUCUUGUUGUUCACUGGAUAACUUAUUUGUCUCUCAUUUUUUUUUUUUUUUUUUUUGAUUAAUCCCCAUGUGCCUGUUGCUACUUCAGGCAUCAGAUAGCCCUGCUUUCUUUGAGAUGUCACGUGUGAUUAGCGAGAUAUAGUGGCGUCUCUUGAGUUUCCGGGUAAACUGAAGCAUUGGAACCACAGGCUUUCCUCAUUGGAACUUUUUUAAACAAACAAAAAAUGCACUUAAAAAGAAGUUUCCAUUUUUAGUUCUCGUUCUGUUAGAAGCUGCCCAAUCUUAGAUGCAUUUCCAGAGAAGUCUGUGGCCCCGUUUACUGAGAUAUGAAAAACAUGUUCGGCGCAAGGUGACACGUGGGCUGUCCACGUUUUGUGCACACCCUCUGAAUGUCACACUGUGUCAAGGGCUCCACGAAAGGGUUGAGGGUCAGGCUGCCAACUGGUGACACGACUGGAGCUUCUCCCUCCUGCCUGCCUAAAUUUCAGGGGCUGUCCCCAAUCACCAGAGCGGGCGAGCCAUACGCUGGUCUAAUUCUUUUCCACUAGGAAUUUAGAGAUGCAGACAGAAGGCACAAGGCGUAGGGGUCCGCGGACGGAGGCAGUAAAUUGGGUGGCGUCAUCGUUAGGGGCUUGGGUUCCGCUAAGAGUGACCGGUGACGCGUGGGGCUAGUCUAGUACUUCCAAUCAUGCAGACUUGGCCUAAAGGCCUUUUUCUUGCCUGGCUGCUGGGUCCUUAGGCAUUAGAUUGCAGAAUGAUCCAGGACUUGGGUUUGCGGGGUUGGCUCCUGGGAUAGGAAGGUGUAUGAGCAACUAGCUGCAAGCCUAAUAAAUGGAUUUCAGGAAUUUCCAGGAAUACAUAUUCAAUAUGCCACUUUCUGUUGAAAAAUGAAUAAAUAUAGCGUGUGGGAAUGAAUGAAGCACUUAGUGAGCGUUUCUCCAUUGGCAGAGAGAUGUAGCGUAUGUGUGCUCGGAGCCUUUGGGAAAUACGGAAACAAGGAAUGCUUUGUUAAGAACUGAGAACACACUGGGAUGCUUUCUGUGUAUCACGCAAGCGCUGCAUCAUCACUCUGAAUUCAACACAUAGAUUGUUUUAUGUCCAGGAUUUCUUUUUUUUUUUUUUUUAACUCCACGUAGCCCCUUGACUUGACUUUAGACCUCCAUUUCAUGGCCAAAGCAUACAUCCUGGAGGAAUAGUUACCUUUUCUUUACUUAAAACAAGGACAACAAGAGUAUCCUGGCUGAAUGUUGUAUUUAGAAAGUGACAUUCCCACAUCUGCCUUGUGAAUUUCUUUCUUAGUCGAGUGGCCAUUAAGACGGGGAAGAUAAAGACGAGAAGAAAUAGGACUCGUUGAAGUAAAGAAUAACUUCCUUUUUAUUAGGUUUAACUUGAAACCAGGUAUCAUAUUUAUAUAAAUACUGUGGAAAAUAUUUAACCUAUUCAUAAAGGUUAAGUAACUAACUGAUAAGCUUUGUAGGCAAAGCAUGUUCAAAUGCUCCCACUAAACUCAAACCGUGCCAGGCAAUUUAUCAAAUUUUCAAAUGCAUAACCAUUAGGAAACAGGAAAGAAGUCUGAGGAACAGAAAGAAUUUCUGAUGAACAAACACAGUUGUUCAUUGUAGAAAUUGUUGUUACUUUAUAUAUCAGAGGGUGCAAAGUGAGUCAAAAAGUCAAAAUAACAGGAUUUAGAGGAAAGCCUUAAAGGAUACAAUUUAGUCUUCAGUAAAGGCUAAGAUAAAUUACUUUGGCUGCUGGCUGGAAGAAAUCAAAGUGGGGAGAUAUUUUAGCUGGUUCUCUUUCUCUGUAAACAGUACAUGAAAUGAUUAGAGUAGCAAGGUUGAGAGGUCUGGGGAUGCAAACAGAGCUUGGGGGAGACCAGAAAAACUGUUUAUAAGAAUACAAAUUAGGCAAUGAUACAUUUGUAGGUUUCUUCCUUGAAUAGGAUGACCGUAUAAUUAAUCCUCCGACCAGGGUACCGGAGAGUGGAGAUGCACCGUGUUAAUAACUGUCAGGACCACAGGCAACCCCCAGGGCUGUCAUGGGAGAUCCAGAGCCUGUGGAUGCCAUUUCUUUGAACACAAUGAAUAAAACAGGCCGUCAUCCUUUGGUUUUGUUUCUUUGGGGGGACUGGGGCUCUUGUGAACAUUUUUAAGGAUUUGUGUUAUUUCUGUGGCAAUGGAGAAAAAAAAAGUGCUCCUUAAAAUCAUCAGACAAAAUGUAUAACUAAAAAGUGAAAAUCCGGAGCACCUGGGUGGCUCAGUCCGUUAAAGCAUCUGACUUCGGCUCAGGUCACGAUCUCGAGGUUCAUAAGUUCGAGCCCUGUGUCGGGUUCUGUGCUGACAGCUCAGAGCCUGGA
Felis catus (domestic cat) is the source of this 4540-nucleotide long non-coding RNA. RefSeq lists it as uncharacterized. The record is from RefSeq and is a predicted model, not a curated record. NCBI's taxonomy places the organism in Eukaryota, Metazoa, Chordata, Mammalia, Carnivora, Felidae. The transcript has 3 exons.